CAGCAGCCGCGGUAACACGAAGGGUGCAAGCGUUACUCGGAAUUACUGGGCGUAAAGCGUGUGUAGGUGGUUGUUUAAGUCUGUCGUGAAAGCCCUGGGCUCAACCUGGGAAUUGCGAUGGAUACUGGGCGACUAGAGUGCGGUAGAGGAUAGUGGAAUUUCCGGUGUAGCAGUGAAAUGCGUAGAGAUCGGAAGGAACAUCUGUGGCGAAGGCGACUAUCUGGGCCAACACUGACACUGAGACACGAAAGCGUGGGGAGCAAACAGGAUUAGAUACCCCAGUAGUCCCUGUCUCUUAUAC
RNAcentral lists this ribosomal RNA (301 nucleotides) under uncultured bacterium. RNAcentral describes it as "partial 16S ribosomal RNA". It matches the Rfam family "Bacterial small subunit ribosomal RNA", at positions 509 to 807 of the family's 1533-position model. The record is from RNAcentral.